CUGGGAGGUGGAGACUGCAGUGAGCCGAGAUCAUGCCACUACACUCCAGCUUGGGUGACAGAGUGAGACUCCUUCUCAAAAUAGAAAAAUAAAAAAUAAAAAAGACUGAAAUUGGCCAACUGGAUUUACUCCAAGAUGGCAAGAAGCACAGGGAGUCACAGCAACGUGUGUGCCUCACUUCAGGGCUAACGGGACUUGGCCUCUUUGAGCUCCUGUUCCCUCGUGUGUAGAAUGGGGAUAAUUAUAACAGCUCCACCUUCCGAGGUGGUUGUGAGCAGCACGUGAGACGACCCCCAAAAACCUGUCAUCGUAAGGGCUCAAAAUGACGACACUUGGCAGGGGGAGUGGGAGGUAUAGAGGGUGAUGGAUUGUGGGAGCUCAUUUCAUUAUCCUGUCUGACUUUCUAUAUCUUUAAAAGUCUCCAUAAUAAUUUUAAAAUACAUUUGUUUACUCACAAAGGAAGGAAGGAUUAUCACUGGGUGUGAUCUCAGGGAGGCUGGUGGGAACAUGGUCAGAACUAAAAAUGUGGGAUUAUGUGGAACCUCACUAUCCAGUGGUAGCCACUAGCCACCUGUGGCUAUCGAGUUCUUGAAAUGUGGCUAAUCCUAACUGAGAUGCGGUGUGUUAUAUGCUUGCCUUUUUUUCUUCUUCUUCUUCAGAAACAGAGCUGGCUAGGUGCAGUGGAGAAUCACUUUAGCCCAGGAGUUCAAGACUAUCCUGGGCAACAAAGUGAGACCCAUCUCCACAAAAAAUUAGCUGGGAAUGGUGGCAUGGGCCUGUAGUAGUCCCAUCUACUCUGUAGGCUGAGGUGAGAGGAUUGUUUGAGCCAAGUAGUUUGAGGCUGCAGUGAGCUAUGAACGUACCACUGGACAUCCAGACUAGGUGACUGAGAGAGACCCUAUCUCUCUCUCUUUUUUUUUCUUUUGAGAUAAGGUCUCUCUCUGUCACCCAGGCUGGAAUACAGUGGCGUGAUCUCCACUCACUGCAACCUCCGCCUCACAGGCUCAAAUGAUCCUCCUACCUCAGCCUCCUGAGUAGCUGAGAUUACAGGUGUGCACCACCAUGCCUGGCUAAUUUUUGUCUGUUUGCUUGUUUGUUUUUUUGAGACGGAGUUUCCCUCUUUCGCCCAGGCUGGAUAAAAAAAAAAAAAAGAAAGGAAGGAAAUUCUGAAACAUGGGACAACAUGGGUGAAGUCUGAAGACAUCAUGCUAAGUGGAAUAAGCCAGUUACAAAAGGACAAAUACCACAUGAUUCCACUUAUGUGAGGUCCCCAGAGUGUUCACAUUCAGAGACAGAAAGUAACAUAGUGAUUGCCAGGGGCUUGGGAGACAGGGUGGGGUGGGUGGUUAGUGUUUGAUGGGGUUAGAAUUUCAGUUUGGGAAGAUGAGAAAGUUUGGAGAUGGAUGGUGGCGAUGGUUGAACAACAACAUGAAUGUGCUUAAUGCCAUCGAACUGUACGCUUAAAA
Molecule: long non-coding RNA, 1466 nt
Filed under: Homo sapiens (human)
Lineage: Eukaryota; Metazoa; Chordata; Mammalia; Primates; Hominidae
Description: HSALNT0130785
Source: RNAcentral